CUACAAGCUGCUGGCCAUUUAUGGACUAAAACUUUUAUAUUGUAAAUAUUUAUCUUUUUUAUUUCUUUCCUUGUUUACAAGAAAAUAGAUGACUCGAGUGUUACAAACAAUAGUUUUUAAGGAAUAAUGUGAAAUAAUUUUUAUAGGAUAAAAAACUUAAAAACAUUACCAGGCACUAACUUAGAUGAUCCUGGAGCAAAGGCUGUAAUUUGACCUGAGCCCAAAUUGGUCUCUAGUUUAAAUACCCUAUUGUCUUGAACCAAUAAGUUAAGAGGACUAACCUUUCUGGACGACAUUGCCAUCGACAUCACUGCAGAUGAGAGAUAUAGAGAGACCAGAGUUGUGUACCCUGGAGGCUAUUACCAUACUGCCGUGAUAACUAAGUUACCGGUAUUCAAAGUUCAAAUCGGUACUUUGAGCUGUAGCCUACCAGUAGAAUGGGGGCGUUGUAAUUAAUAUCCUCCCAACAUUGGAGGAUACAGGGGAGAGUUGCCAGAGGAAGAGGAGAUGGAGGAUGGGGCAAAGUAAAGACGAAGAUUGAAGAGAACUAA
Molecule: long non-coding RNA, 551 nt
Organism: Macrosteles quadrilineatus (aster leafhopper)
Lineage: Eukaryota; Metazoa; Arthropoda; Insecta; Hemiptera; Cicadellidae
Exons: 3
Source: RefSeq, a predicted model, not a curated record